CGCGCAAAAGUCGACGCGUGCUCCCGGGAUACUCGAGUUUCCGACGCAGGUCGGUGUUAACGCGUUAAAUUUCCAUGCAAUCGCGCUGUCGAGCGUUACUAGCUAAUGACGCCAUAUUGGGCAUAUCUUUUCGAUCGCCCGAAUUAUUUCGCGUGUCGGAAACGCAACUUGGCGAUGGGAUUCGCUCGUUUUCAAUCGGUGUAUCGAUUGUGUCGUGAUAUUUCGGUUUGCGGUUGUCGGCACGCACCGCGCACGCACGGGAGCAAUAUUUACAUCUCGUACCGCUCGCGAGUGGCCGAUUCGGCGUAAAAGCGCCCAUGCGCUUUUUAAUGCGCUCAUUAAUCGCGUGCGUAAAAGCAAUCGAGCGUCGCGUCAUCGAGUGAACUGUGCCGCAUCAACUGCCGGCAGCAAUCGGUCGAGCACGCCGGCGAUCCGCAGCUUCGUCCACGUUCGGUUGCGCGACGCGGCGUCCAGUGGAUGUGGCGAAGUCAUUUGAUUGCUCGAAGUCAGAAGAAAAGCUGAGAAGCAGAGCAAACGCGGCGCAAUUUUGGAAGCUGAAUCUGCGUUCUGGAAAACGUCGGAGGCGGACGGCGCAUGCGCAGCGACCGGUGAGUCGAUCCAUUUGUUACUUUUGCGUUUAAUUAUCGUUGAUUGAUUGAUUGAUGUAUCGAUUGUCGCCACUGAUCGCAUUGCAUGAACGUUGUAAUCAAGUAGGAUUAAUCUCUUUUUCGCCUGUUAUUUCGUGAAACUCGCGAGAUGCAGCAGAUUUACCGCAGCGGUGCUCGUGUUCGUCUCGAUGUUUGUUUUGAAAAGCACAAAUAAAAAUGAUCUUUUUAUUUCUUUGAAAGUUCUGCAGAUACUUUGUUGCGAAUAUCAGAAGUCAAAAGCGAAUAGUUUAAGGAACGUUAUGCAGCAUGUUCGAAUUACGUUAAAUCAGAGGUUUCCAUGUUCAAUUAUCAAAGCAUGAUAGUUAACACAGAUUGAUACAAAUUGAUUGAAUCAUUUCCUGCUUAUAUAUUAUUCAUUUCGAAUGUUAAUCAAUAUGUUUGACCCAUAGCGUAAUUAAUUACGAAUAAUGUACAUUUCAUUAUACAUUACAAUCAAUAUUUCCGCGUGUACAUAUCUGUUCCAGAAGACGCAAACGCGAUUUACGUGUGAUCGUUUCGAUGUUUACGUAAAACUGUAAAUGAACUACGUGAUAUAAAGUUUAUUCAAUUUACAUUGCAUAAAUUAAUGUUAUGGUCAAAACUCGAUUCAUGUACAAACUUCAUACGGCAAUUGUCAACUGCCACACAAUACGUGACACAUAAUUGAUUUUGGUAACACGUUCCGAUGUUUAAUAUUUAAUCGUUUUCUAAUUGAAUCGGAGACAAAUUCGCUAAUGAGAGAAUUAAUCUCACUAAAAGUAUUGUUUUAUUUGAGUCGCACUACACAACCGUAAAAUCAAACGUUAUUACAUAAAGUACAUGGAUAAAAUCAUGAAUUGUUAACUGUACUAAACAGUAUUUUCCUUUAUUGCUGCUUCAAAAUCGCAGCAAUUAAUGGUUCAAUGGUGUCAGUUGAAUUUUAUAUAUUAUUUAAUAAUAUAUAUAAUAUUUAGUUUUUGCAUUAUUUCAUCACGUAUCGCAUCCAUAUAUUAUAGACAGAGCCGUAUUUAUUUGAUGAAUAUUACAAUACUUUACACCGAAAUGCUAUUUCGGUGAGUUUUAUGUUUUAUUAAAAAAUUUGAGUCUCUGUCUCUCUCUCUGCGUUGAAAUAUAAUACGAGUAAAAUUUAACAAUAAUAUAUUAUGCAACUAAAUUCAGAAAUCGUUUUUCUUGACGUUGUAAGGAAAGAUAAUGUGUGUGACUAUGAUUUUAUUCUAUAUUUGCAUGGCCGUCAAUAAAAUGAUAAAAAUUAUUUUUGGACUCCAUAAAAAUUUAUAUUCGCGUGAAACAAGUCAUUUGUCGUGCGAGUCGCGUUUAGGUCUAUUCGAUUGCGUGAAUGGCCGCUGCAGCAUUUAACAAGCUCGCGCGAUCUUUAACAACAUAACAUAGUAACAAUGGCACAUUAUAUUAUUUUCCGCGAAAUAUUAUUCUCCCGUCGGUAUCGUAUCGAGUGACCUGCCGCGUUUCACAACGGGCUGAUCGACGCGAACACGAGACGAUAACCGCUGUGGUAUUCGUGCCUCCUUCGAUGUCACGAAAUCUCAUGCUUCGCGGUGAUUAAAUAUGAUUUAUGCAACAAUAACGAAAAAA
RNAcentral lists this long non-coding RNA (2237 nucleotides) under Ooceraea biroi (clonal raider ant). RNAcentral's name for it is "uncharacterized LOC109611584". Lineage: Eukaryota; Metazoa; Arthropoda; Insecta; Hymenoptera; Formicidae. The record is from RNAcentral.